RNAcentral lists this long non-coding RNA (1291 nucleotides) under Salmo salar (Atlantic salmon). RNAcentral describes it as "lncRNA (ENSSSAG00000110540.1, ENSSSAG00000118537.1)". Lineage: Eukaryota; Metazoa; Chordata; Actinopteri; Salmoniformes; Salmonidae. The record is from RNAcentral.
CACUGUUACUCAACUUUUAUUUGGUGUAUAGAAUGUCUAUAUUUACACACAAACAUAGAAACAUUGUGUCUGAUUUUACGACUGAAUUCUUCUCCAUAUUAUAGCAAUAGUAGCAAUGUUAAAACAUCACAUUUCCAAAAGCGUGAAAAGGAAAUAUUUUGUCUUGUCCUUCUGGAUGACCUUACGAUGUAGCACGCAGUUACUGAGGGACGCCUCUGUGUUAAGACUUCUGCGUUCGCGUACUCGUCGGAACUAGGAAACUGUGAAAUGUCCCAACUUGCUAACUGCUUGUAGUUAUACACGUGCUGCGUUCAACCAGUUAGGAAGUCAAGACAUUUCAGCGUUUCCUAGUUCCGACUAGCACGUGAACGCUGCAGGGUGUCCCUGUGAAUAACAUAACAUGGUUCUAGUUCAAGGUGGCCUGCCGGCUGUUAAAGGACAGACGCGUUUAUAGUUACAUCCUCCGGUCUACUUGAUAGUAGUUUGUCCUCCCUCCUGUGUAUAGAACAGUUCUGUCCAGGUUUAGAUCAGGGUCAGGUUAAAGUGUUGACACGGUGGAACAUGAUGAAUAGCUCGUUUGUUCUUGGGAGUGACUCUGUGUUUAUUUACAGCAACAGCGCGGGCAGUAAUGUGGUAAAACCAGACAAAAUCAGUGAUAGCAGCACUUAGUCUGCACACACACACACACACACGAGGUGAACCGUUAAGCCUUCCUUCACCCCACAGUUAAUUCGGUUGUCUUCCUCUCAGCACUUCCUGAUUCACAUUCAGCCUCAUUACCCAUUCAUCAGAUCCAGUCUCUCCACACAGAGGUUGACCUCUGCCAUUUCACCUCAUAUUAAACCACACGGUACUGGUUUCAGUGAACAUUGAUCUGUCCUUAGUAGGAUCACAAAUGAUACGAAACCAACCAGUCCAUCAUGUUUAAAGCUUUCUGCUCCAGAUUGAGUCUGGAGGUGAGACAGACUGGUCAGACAGUCCAGGUGGGAGACAGACAGGUAGACAGACAGGUAAGGCAGCAGAAUCAUCCCAGAGCCUUUGAUGAGUCUGUAGUAGUGAUCUGAUCAGCGCUACGGAGGGCUUUCUGUGGGCUGGCCGGGGACUAAAACCAACAACGUACUGGUAUGGGUCUAGAACCCAGAGACCGCAGAGAACUGAGUCUGGGACGAGAACCCAGAGUACAUGGGAGAACCCAGAGAACAGAGUCUGGGACGAGAACCCAGAGAACAGAGUCUGGGACGAGAACCCAGAGUACAGAGUCUGGGACUAGAACCCAGAGCUCGACGAAAGA